This is a non-coding RNA of Pimephales promelas (fathead minnow), 211 nucleotides long. The record is from RefSeq and is a predicted model, not a curated record. NCBI's taxonomy places the organism in Eukaryota, Metazoa, Chordata, Actinopteri, Cypriniformes, Leuciscidae.
UCUAAACGUACAUUCUGGGAGUAAGCCGUCAUUCAAGAAGACGGAAAAGAAGCAAUUCUGGGACGAAGAGAGUGAUGAGGGUGAACACGAGAGAAAAAGAGUGAGUGCGAGCGAGCGAGCGAGGUCUGCUCUGUGGUCUGUUGAUUUACUUAUUUUUGUGGUAAUAUGUUGUCAAAUAGGUUUGAACUUAAAUAAACUACCUAUACAAGUA